Catharus ustulatus (Swainson's thrush) is the source of this 1632-nucleotide long non-coding RNA. RefSeq lists it as uncharacterized. NCBI's taxonomy places the organism in Eukaryota, Metazoa, Chordata, Aves, Passeriformes, Turdidae. The record is from RefSeq and is a predicted model, not a curated record. The transcript has 3 exons.
GAGCUGGCUAUAAACAUACUAUAGACUGGGGUGAAAGAGGGAGAGUGUGAGGUUGAGAGACAGAGAGAGGGAAAGAAAGAAAGAAAGAGAGAGAGAUUACUACACCCAGCCUUUUAUAAAGCCGUUUCUUUCAUUAUAACAGGUCUUUUCAUCCCAGUGACACAGAACCUUUAAAUUUGGGCAUAAUGCUCCAGUACAGUACACAGCUAUAGCUUCAAAUGGAUUUAGAACCUGCUCCAGAAAGAAAACAAACUCCCUCGCUUGACACACAAAUUGUUUACGAUUCAUUAAAAAGCAAAAUUGCAUAUCCCAGUGCUGGCAGCUGAGUCCAUAUGGGUGCAAGGGGUAUUCACUCAUCUCUUUGUAUGCUGGCAGUACCAAACCGAAGUUUAGCACUGUGCAGCUGAGAUUUUGUGCAGCCAGACGAUGCAUGAGAUGCUGAGUCCUCAGGAAAAGGGACCAAUGACUAAUAAAUCAGGUGUUUCUUCCUUCACCUACUGGGAUCAAUAAGAAGCAGGAGAAAAAAGUUCUUGUUUGCAUGAGAUAAUGCAGACAAACAGCACCAUGUAGUGGGGACACGCAGGGAAGCAGCUCAGCUCCCCAGGACACCAAACAAGCUGAUUUCUCUAGCCCAAACUCUGAUAUAUUCAAAACUAAUCCAGAAAGAAUCAGAGAAUGAUUCACAGCAUGGCUACAAGUCCAUUGCAACACACAAACCCCAGCCUGCAGCUGGAGUUACUCUUUUGCCAAGGCAAUGGAUAACUGCUAUGUAAGUAAAAGUUGCACAUCACCUUGAGAAAACUGUCACACAAAAUCACAUCUUCCUACCUCUGAGGAAAAAGCAGCAACUGGCAGCUGCCUCUGGAGGGAAACUACAUGGAGGAUCUUCUCCAAGAUGGUACUUUCUGAUCCCACCUCUGAUCACUGCUGUGGCUGAAGCAAAGCCACCACCUUCUGCUUUCCCCGUCCCCCUUCGCAUUCCCCAGCCAGCCAAACUGCUGUGGAUGUGCAAAUAGUUCAGGAGCAGUAGCCUGGCCAGCAGGUGAAAGAAAUGACUUCACUUCAUACAGAAAAUGCAGUCAUGAGAAGACACAUGGUUUGGGACAGGGAGCUGCUAUGAAAUUCACUCUGGCAAACUGGGCAUGGAUGUUUUCUUCUCCCCAAGUAUCCAAUAAAAUGUCCAAAACUUUGCUCUUUGAGAAGAUAUGCAAAGCAGAAUGUGCGUCAUUCAUAGUGUCCAGCAAUAAACAAAAUAUUAAGUGCAUUUUUAAUGCUCUAAACCUUUUAAAAGACUUUUUAAACCUUGCACAGUGGGACAUAAUUAAAAUUGUUUUGCUAUCUGCAACAAGCCUGGCCUCCAAUCACAUAAUUAAGCAGUCACAAAUUGCAAAAUUGGUUUGUUUGGUUCCCACACCACAGAAAUAAUGAUAAAAGCUUUUUUUGUUUGUCAGUAACUUACAGGUUAUGGGCAAUGCAUUUUGGCAAAUUUGGAGCUUGAAGACCAUGUCCACAUCUCCCCAUGUUUUCCCCACUGUGGAUACUUAGUGUGCUCUCUAUGGUUUCAGUGGCUGCAUGCACUCAGAUAAUGUAGCAGCUACAACUGGAAAUAAAAGAUUUAAAGUGUGUUAAGCA